This 722-nucleotide ribosomal RNA is filed under the name Erysiphe divaricata. Its description in RNAcentral is "eukaryotic LSU rRNA". It matches the Rfam family "Eukaryotic large subunit ribosomal RNA", at positions 1 to 734 of the family's 3401-position model. Lineage: Eukaryota; Fungi; Ascomycota; Leotiomycetes; Helotiales; Erysiphaceae. The record is from RNAcentral.
UUGACCUCGAAUCAGGUAGGAAUACCCGCUGAACUUAAGCAUAUCAAUAAGCGGAGGAAAAGAAACCAACCGGGAUUACCUCAGUAACGGCGAGUGAAGCGGUAACAGCUCAAAUUUGAAAUCUGGCUCUUCUGGAGUCCGAGUUGUAAUUUGUAGAAGAUGCUUUGGGUUGUGGGUUCGGCCUAAGUUCCUUGGAACAGGACGUCAUAGAGGGUGAGAAUCCCGUAUGUGGCCGAGGCCCGCGCCUAUGUAAAGCUCUUUCAACGAGUCGAGUUGUUUGGGAAUGCAGCUCAAAAUGGGUGGUAAAUUUCAUCUAAAGCUAAAUAUGGGCCAGAGACCGAUAGCGCACAAGUAGAGUGAUCGAAAGAUGAAAAGCACUUUGGAAAGAGAGUUAAACAGUACGUGAAAUUGUUGAAAGGGAAGCGCUUGCACCCAGACUUGGGCGCUGCUGAUCACCUUGGGUUCUUCCCAAGUGCACUCGACAGCGCACAGGCCAGCAUCGGUUCGGGUGGCUGGAUAAAGGCCGUAGGAACGUAGCUCCCCUCGGGGAGUGUUAUAGCCUACGGUGCCAUGCAGCCCAGCCGGACCGAGGACCGCGCCUUCGGGCUAGGAUGCUGGCGUAAUGGGUGUAAGCGACCCGUCUUGAAACACGGACCAAGGAGUCUAACAUCUAUGCGAGUGUUUGGGUGGUAAACCCAUACGCGGAAUGAAAGUGAACGUAG